Molecule: ribosomal RNA, 2934 nt
Filed under: Pectobacterium carotovorum subsp. carotovorum
Lineage: Bacteria; Pseudomonadati; Pseudomonadota; Gammaproteobacteria; Enterobacterales; Pectobacteriaceae
Description: bacterial LSU rRNA
Rfam family: Bacterial large subunit ribosomal RNA
Source: RNAcentral
GGGUUGUGAGGUUAAGCGACUAAGCGUACACGGUGGAUGCCUAGGCAGUCAGAGGCGAUGAAGGGCGUGCUAAUCUGCGAUAAGCGUCGGUAAGCUGAUAUGAAGCGUUAUACCCGACGAUACCCGAAUGGGGAAACCCAGUGUGUUUCGACACACUAUCAUUAACUGAAUACAUAGGUUAAUGAGGCGAACCGGGGGAACUGAAACAUCUCAGUACCCCGAGGAAAAGAAAUCAACCGAGAUUCCCCCAGUAGCGGCGAGCGAACGGGGAGGAGCCCAGAACCUGAAUCAGUUUGUGUGUUAGUGGAAGCGUCUGGAAAGUCGCACAGUAAAGGGUGAUAGUCCCGUACACAAAAAUGCACAGAUUGUGAGUUCGAUGAGUAGGGCGGGACACGUGACAUCCUGUCUGAAUAUGGGGGGACCAUCCUCCAAGGCUAAAUACUCCUGACUGACCGAUAGUGAACCAGUACCGUGAGGGAAAGGCGAAAAGAACCCCGGCGAGGGGAGUGAAAUAGAACCUGAAACCGUGUACGUACAAGCAGUGGGAGCCUACUUGUUAGGUGACUGCGUACCUUUUGUAUAAUGGGUCAGCGACUUAUAUUCUGUAGCAAGGUUAACCGUAUAGGGGAGCCGCAGGGAAACCGAGUCUUAACUGGGCGUUAAGUUGCAGGGUAUAGACCCGAAACCCGGUGAUCUAGCCAUGGGCAGGUUGAAGGUUGGGUAACACUAACUGGAGGACCGAACCGACUAAUGUUGAAAAAUUAGCGGAUGACUUGUGGCUGGGGGUGAAAGGCCAAUCAAACCGGGAGAUAGCUGGUUCUCCCCGAAAGCUAUUUAGGUAGCGCCUCGUGAAUUCAUCUUCGGGGGUAGAGCACUGUUUCGGCUAGGGGGUCAUCCCGACUUACCAACCCGAUGCAAACUACGAAUACCGAAGAAUGUUAUCACGGGAGACACACGGCGGGUGCUAACGUUCGUCGUGAAGAGGGAAACAACCCAGACCGCCAGCUAAGGUCCCAAAGUCAUGGUUAAGUGGGAAACGAUGUGGGAAGGCAUAGACAGCCAGGAUGUUGGCUUAGAAGCAGCCAUCAUUUAAAGAAAGCGUAAUAGCUCACUGGUCGAGUCGGCCUGCGCGGAAGAUGUAACGGGGCUAAACCAUGCACCGAAGCUGCGGCAGCGACACUUAGGUGUUGUUGGGUAGGGGAGCGUUCUGUAAGCCGUCGAAGGUGGCCUGUGAGGGCUGCUGGAGGUAUCAGAAGUGCGAAUGCUGACAUAAGUAACGAUAAUGCGGGUGAAAAACCCGCACGCCGGAAGACCAAGGGUUCCUGUCCAACGUUAAUCGGGGCAGGGUGAGUCGACCCCUAAGGCGAGGCUGAAAAGCGUAGUCGAUGGGAAACAGGUUAAUAUUCCUGUACUCGGUGUUACUGCGAAGGGGGGACGGAGAAAGCUAGGUUAUCCGGGCGACGGUUGUCCCGGUUUAAGCGUGAAGGUGGAUGACUUUGGUAAAUCCGGGUCAUUAUUAACACUGAGGCGUGAUGACGAGUCACUACGGUGAUGAAGUAACCAAUGCUACGCUUCCAGGAAAAGCCUCUAAGCUCCAGGUAACAUCAAAUCGUACCCCAAACCGACACAGGUGGUCAGGUAGAGAAUACUCAGGCGCUUGAGAGAACUCGGGUGAAGGAACUAGGCAAAAUGGUGCCGUAACUUCGGGAGAAGGCACGCUGAUGGUAGGUGAAGUGACUUGCUCAUGGAGCUGAAAUCAGUCGAAGAUACCAGCUGGCUGCAACUGUUUAAUAAAAACACAGCACUGUGCAAACACGAAAGUGGACGUAUACGGUGUGACGCCUGCCCGGUGCCGGAAGGUUAAUUGAUGGGGUCAGCCGCAAGGCGAAGCUCUUGAUCGAAGCCCCGGUAAACGGCGGCCGUAACUAUAACGGUCCUAAGGUAGCGAAAUUCCUUGUCGGGUAAGUUCCGACCUGCACGAAUGGCGUAAUGAUGGCCAGGCUGUCUCCACCCGAGACUCAGUGAAAUUGAACUCGCUGUGAAGAUGCAGUGUACCCGCGGCAAGACGGAAAGACCCCGUGAACCUUUACUAUAGCUUGACACUGAACCUUGAGCCUUGAUGUGUAGGAUAGGUGGGAGGCUUUGAAGCGUGGACGCCAGUCUGCGUGGAGCCAACCUUGAAAUACCACCCUUUAAUGUUUGAUGUUCUAACGUGGACCCGUGAUCCGGGUUGCGGACAGUGUCUGGUGGGUAGUUUGACUGGGGCGGUCUCCUCCCAAAGCGUAACGGAGGAGCACGAAGGUUAGCUAAUCCUGGUCGGACAUCAGGAGGUUAGUGCAAAGGCAUAAGCUAGCUUGACUGCGAGAGUGACAGCUCGAGCAGGUGCGAAAGCAGGUCUUAGUGAUCCGGUGGUUCUGAAUGGAAGGGCCAUCGCUCAACGGAUAAAAGGUACUCCGGGGAUAACAGGCUGAUACCGCCCAAGAGUUCAUAUCGACGGCGGUGUUUGGCACCUCGAUGUCGGCUCAUCACAUCCUGGGGCUGAAGUAGGUCCCAAGGGUAUGGCUGUUCGCCAUUUAAAGUGGUACGCGAGCUGGGUUUAGAACGUCGUGAGACAGUUCGGUCCCUAUCUGCCGUGGGCGUUGGAAGAUUGAGAGGGGUUGCUCCUAGUACGAGAGGACCGGAGUGAACGCACCACUGGUGUACGGGUUGUGAUGCCAAUUGCAUUGCCCGGUAGCUAAGUGCGGAAGAGAUAACCGCUGAAAGCAUCUAAGCGGGAAACUUGCCUCGAGAUGAGUCUUCCCUGGGCACUAGAUGCCCCUGAAGGGCCGUUGAAGACGACGACGUAGAUAGGCUGGGUGUGUAAGCGUAGCGAUACGUUGAGCUAACCAGUACUAAUGACCCGAGAGGCUUAACCUUACAACACCGAAGGUGUUU